AUGGCUCCGCGCCGCCUCCUGCUCCUGGCCGUGGCCGCCUCGCUCGGCGCAGCAGCUAGUGCUGCCGCCUCUGUUGACUACACACCGUAUGUCCGGGCUUCCGUCUGCUCGGACAGCAACUACACCGACGGCAGCCCGUACGAGGUCCAGCUCGACAACCUUCUCCACGACCUCCGGGACGGCGCAAUUGGGAAUGGCGGCUUCUUCCAGACCGACAAGGGCCACUGGCCCACCCAGGUAUACGGCCAGGCCAUGUGCUACGUCGACUGCGACUGGUCAAUGUGUGAGUUCUGCCUGCAGGUGGCGCCGUCCUACGUGAUGACCAAAGGAUGCCCGAACAACAAAAGGGGCGCCGUCAUGUAUGACUGCUGCUACCAACGCUACUCAGACGAGCAAUUCUUCGGCCACGCCGACUUCUUCGAACAUGGGAUGAACGCACAAGGUGGGAGCAACGGCGACGACGCGGUCCCCAUGAACAAGACAAUGUGGGAGCUGGUGACCGGGCUCAUAGCGGAGGCCGCGGGGUCGCCGCGGCGGAUAGCCAACGGGAGCCAGACGUACAUGGACUCGAGAGGUAACUCCCAGGUGAUGUACGGCCUGGUGCAGUGCGCCCUAGGCUUUUCGCCGAGAGAGUGCACCAACUGUCUUAACACCACACUGGCGAGCAUGCCCGGAAACGCCACCACCGCUAAGUUCAGGAGGUACGGCUGCUACAUCACCCACGCGCCCGAUCCCAUCGACGUUUCCACGCCUCGUCCGCAAUCUGCAGGAGGUCCGCGCCGCCCAAACCGACGGCUCGUCGUGGCGGUGUGCGCCGCUUCGGGUUCCGUCUUCCUGUUGAUCUGCAUCAGCAUCUCGGUACGGCUCCUUUUGCGCCGGCCAGAGAGAAGAACUAACUCUCCCAGGGUGUCUAUCGAAGACGAUAAGGCCAUGGAAGACGAGUUCAGGGAAGGGACCGGGCCCAGGCGAUUCCGCUACAGCGAGCUGGCAGCUGCCACGGGCAACUUCUCGGAAGUCAAGAAGCUCGGGGAAGGCGGGUUUGGCCCAGUGUACAGAGGGUUCCUCAAGGACCUGGGAAUCGAGGUGGCUAUCAAGAGAGUGUCCAAGGACUCUAAGCAGGGGAGGAAGGAGUACGCCUCCGAGGUGAGGGUAAUAAGCCGGCUUCGGCACCGUAAUCUCGUGCAGAUCAUUGGCUGGUGCCACGCCGGCGGCGAGCUCCUCCUAGUCUACGAGCUGAUGCCCAAGGGCAGUCUCGAUCUUCACCUUUACAGUGCGGACAAUGUCCUAUGGUGGCCAGUCAGGCAUAGGAUCGUGCUGGGGAUCGGCUCUGCGCUUCUCUACCUACACCAGGAGUGGGAGCAGUGCGUCCUGCACAGGGACAUCAAGACGAGCAAUGUGAUGCUGGACGCUUCGUUCAACGCCAAGCUCGGCGACUUCGGGCUCGCCAGGCUCGUCGACCACGACAGAGGGUCGCACACGACGGAGCUCGCCGGCACGCUGGGGUACAUGGACCCCGAGUGCACCGUCACCGGCAGAGCCAGCACCGAGUCGGAUGUCUACAGCUUCGGCGUUGUGUUACUUGAGAUCGCGUGCGGACGGAGGCCUACCACGGCUCGACCCAACGGCACGCUCAUCCACCUGGCACAGCGGGUGUCAGAGCUGCACGGGCAAGGGAGGAUACUUGACGCGGCCGACCCACGGCUGGAUGGCAACUUCGAUCUCCAAGAGAUGGAGCGCGUGCUGGUCGUCGGCCUCUGGUGCGCGUGCCACGACCAGAGCCUAAGGCCGUCCAUAAGGCAGGCUAUCAACGUGCUACGGCUGGAGGCGCCCCUCCCCGAGAGGAUGCCGCCGGUUGGCCAAGCGGCCGGCCCUCUUCCCAUGCCGGACUCCGAUAGUACGGGUCACAGCUCCAGCUCCACUCAACAGCUAAUAUGA
Molecule: ribosomal RNA, 1935 nt
Filed under: Triticum aestivum (bread wheat)
Lineage: Eukaryota; Viridiplantae; Streptophyta; Magnoliopsida; Poales; Poaceae
Description: partial small subunit ribosomal RNA
Source: RNAcentral